AGAAUCAGUUGAUUGGUCGAAAUGGCUCAUCUUUUGGGUGGAUGAGAGGGUGGUUCCUUUGACUAGUGAUGACAGUAAUUAUAAACUUGCAUAUGAUGGUUUUCUUUCGAAGGUACACAAAAUUUCGAAAUAUUUUCUGUCUGCAAAAUUGAAUGCAUAUCAGUUCAUGUAAUUUUGUCAGUUGAAAUCCAAUUGUUUUAAAGAUAUGUGCAGUAAAUCCAGGCAAAAGUACUAAUUCAAGUUUCGCUACUCCUAUUUUGUGAAGAAGUUGCAACUUUUUAUGAAUAUAUGAAUCAACAUGCACUAGAGGUGUUUUAACUCUGUGUCCCCUUUCAAAUAGCUUAAAAGGUAACACACAUUAGGAGUAAUCCAGUUCGACCAUCCUCACGUCUAGCUAAUGUAGGAAAACAAAAACCUACCUUCCCAAAGAAAAUAUUUUCCUCAAAAACGGAAAGCUAAUCAUAUUUUCAAAGGUUGAAAAAUAACUUUAAUGGAAAAAAUUUGGCAAUCAAACAUGCCAAAGGUUAGAAUUCGAGUAGAAAAAGGCAAUUUUCGACAGAAAAUUCUCCAAUCAAAUACACCCUAAAUAUUAGAAAAAGAACUGUGAAUAUUAAAGUAUUGAGAAUUGAGUUGAAAAUCAGUGUAUGCUAUGUGUGGAACAAAUUUUCCGGUCAUGUUUGGAAUCAGGUGUAUGCAGAAUGUUAAGAGCGUUGGCUUUUCACUAUUUUCUGCAGGUACCAAUUCCUUCCAGUAACAUUUAUGCCAUCAAUGACAAGCUGUCACCAGAGGGCGCGGCAAAUGAUUAUGAAGUACGUCUCAAGCAUUUGGUCGAGAGCAAAAUUAUACCUUUAUCUAAUGCUUCUGGAUUCCCCAAAUUUGAUCUUAUGCUUCUUGGAAUGGGGCCAGAUGGACACGUUGCUUCUUUAUUUCCUAACCGUCCGCAACGUCAUGAGAAGAAGCGGUGGGUUACAUUCAUUACCGACUCUCCCAAACCUCCUCCACCGAGGAUCACUUUCACGUUUCCCGUGAUCAACUCAUCUUCAGAUAUCGCAAUGGUGGUCACCGGAGCUGAACUGGCCGAUACUGUUAAUAUUGCAUUGGGUGAUGGACUUCCUCCUGAUUCAAUUCCCCUGCCUAGCAUGGAAGUUUCACCUGAAGGAGAACUGAAAUGGUUCCUGGACAAGGAUGCUGCUUCUAAACUUAAGUAGAAUAACUCAGUGCUGUCUGUGUCGUGUUUCAUUAUCCUCUAAUAAUC
This 1255-nucleotide long non-coding RNA is filed under the name Olea europaea (common olive). RNAcentral describes it as "long non-coding RNA (OEUR_LNC006508)". The record is from RNAcentral. Lineage: Eukaryota; Viridiplantae; Streptophyta; Magnoliopsida; Lamiales; Oleaceae.